AAAAAAUAAUUAUUUUACGGAGUUUCAAAUUUUAACAAUAUUAUAUUUUUGAAAAAUAACUAUUGUUAUUGAAUUUCAUAUUAUAUAGGUGAAAUUCCAUGACCCGGGUCGGAUCAUUCCUGGACCGGAUCGUGGAUUUGAGAGAGCAAUAAAUUAGGGAUCAGAUAAUGGCAACUGCAAACAAUCAAAGUUGAGAAAGAGAGGAGUAGAAGAAAAGUGUGUUGAUCAAAGAAAGGGAAAAGUGUUUUAAGCAUGUCGUUAAUGAAGGGAGAGCCAUUGGUGAGGAAGGUUGCGCUGAUGGCUAAGUAUGCAGUGUUUCCUGGAGCUAUGGCUGCUGCCGUUAUCUAUUCUCCUCCUCCUUACGCUUCUUAUUAUAAGCCCCAAUCUUCUUCUUCAAAAUAAACUUUUUGUUUUCCUUAUGGGGUUCUUUUUGACUUACCGAAUGCUUCUGGUUGCAGUAGUUCACUGAAAUGCUGUAUUUGUAAUAGACUUGGUAUGUAAUAAUAAUCCAAUGGAAGCUUGUUUCUUUGCUCAAA
Long non-coding RNA from Solanum dulcamara, 536 nucleotides. RefSeq lists it as uncharacterized. The record is from RefSeq and is a predicted model, not a curated record. NCBI's taxonomy places the organism in Eukaryota, Viridiplantae, Streptophyta, Magnoliopsida, Solanales, Solanaceae. The transcript is spliced from 2 exons.